Molecule: ribosomal RNA, 443 nt
Filed under: uncultured bacterium
Lineage: Bacteria
Description: partial 16S ribosomal RNA
Rfam family: Bacterial small subunit ribosomal RNA
Source: RNAcentral
CCUACGGGAGGCAGCAGUGGGGAAUAUUGGGCAAUGGAGGCAACUCUGACCCAGCAACGCCGCGUGAAUGAUGAAGGUCUUCGGAUUGUAAAGUUCUUUUGUCAGGGACGAAGCAAGUGACGGUACCUGACGAAUAAGCCACGGCUAACUACGUGCCAGCAGCCGCGGUAAUACGUAGGUGGCAAGCGUUAUCCGGAUUUACUGGGUGUAAAGGGCGUGUAGGCGGGGAGGCAAGUCAGAUGUGAAAACCACGGGCUCAACCUGUGGCCUGCAUUUGAAACUGUUUUUCUUGAGUGCUGGAGAGGCAAUCGGAAUUCCGUGUGUAGCGGUGAAAUGCGUAGAUAUACGGAGGAACACCAGUGGCGAAGGCGGAUUGCUGGACAGUAACUGACGCUGAGGCGCGAAAGCGUGGGGAGCAAACAGGAUUAGAUACCCUAGUAGUC